Molecule: ribosomal RNA, 232 nt
Filed under: uncultured bacterium
Lineage: Bacteria
Description: partial 16S ribosomal RNA
Rfam family: Bacterial small subunit ribosomal RNA
Source: RNAcentral
CGGACGGGUGAGUAAUGUAUGGGGAUCUGCCUGAUGGCGGGGGAUAACUACUGGAAACGGUAGCUAAUACCGCAUAACGUCGCAAGACCAAAGAGGGGGACCUUAGGGCCUCUUGCCAUCGGAUGUGCCCAGAUGGGAUUAGCUAGUAGGUAAGGUAACGGCUUACCUAGGCGACGAUCCCUAGCUGGUCUGAGAGGAUGAUCAGCCACACUGGGACUGAGACACGGCCCAG